UGAACUUUCAGAAUUAUAACUGGCGAAGAAAACUACGCCUUAGCUGCUUAAGUUAGACUUAACAUAGCUAUUUGUCCCGUUAGAUCCUGUUCUUUGGUUUAACAUUCGGGGCAUCGAACGAUAGAACUGGCAAGUGUGAUGUUGCUAAGCACUUGCGAGAAACAGCAACUACGGCGUACGGUAUAGGUAAGCGACUCACCUUCCCUCGCCCGACAAUCAAAGAGAAGCUAAACAUGUAGAAAGCGUAUACAGUACCAUGACUGGACGAGAGUUCGAAUCUCUCCAGCUCCACUA
RNAcentral lists this transfer-messenger RNA (294 nucleotides) under Sphingobacterium sp. RNAcentral's name for it is "partial transfer-messenger RNA". It matches the Rfam family "transfer-messenger RNA", at positions 69 to 374 of the family's 374-position model. From Rfam's summary of the family: Bacterial tmRNA, also known as 10Sa RNA or SsrA, is named for its dual tRNA and mRNA-like properties. The record is from RNAcentral. Lineage: Bacteria; Pseudomonadati; Bacteroidota; Sphingobacteriia; Sphingobacteriales; Sphingobacteriaceae.